This 229-nucleotide ribosomal RNA is filed under the name uncultured bacterium. RNAcentral's name for it is "partial 16S ribosomal RNA". It matches the Rfam family "Bacterial small subunit ribosomal RNA", at positions 568 to 796 of the family's 1533-position model. The record is from RNAcentral.
UGCGUAGGCGGUCUCUUAAGUCAGAUGUGAAAGCCCGGGGCUUAACCCCGGAAGUGCAUUUGAAACUAAGGGACUUGAGUAUGGGAGAGGGAAGUGGAAUUCCUGGUGUAGGGGUGAAAUUCGUAGAUAUCAGGAGGAACACCGGUGGCGAAGGCGACUUCCUGGACCAAUGCUGACGCUGAGGCGCGAAGGCGUGGGGAGCAAACAGGAUUAGAUACCCUGGUAGUCC